Molecule: long non-coding RNA, 857 nt
Organism: Canis lupus familiaris (dog)
Lineage: Eukaryota; Metazoa; Chordata; Mammalia; Carnivora; Canidae
Exons: 3
Source: RefSeq, a predicted model, not a curated record
UCGUUAGGCAACCUCAGAGCCAGGCCUAGAGAGGGAAUGGGCUGCAUUCAAUUGGCUGUCUUGUAAAUGCCCGCAGGAGGCACGGCCCUGCCAGAUCCCAACACUUCUUUGCUGUUCAGCUGCAACAACCAUUUGAGAGCCGUUUGCCACUGGUAUCCCCUCUGGUGAUAGAUCCUCCAAUAGUUAAAGCAUGAGUAAAGUGGGGUGAGGGUGCCGGCCCUAACAAGGAUGGAAGCAGGAAAAGGAGCAAAAAGCAGAUUCUUCAGUUUCCCUAUCUCAGUGUGAGGCACAGAAAGGUCCAACAAUUUGUUCAAAAUCACACCACUGGAAAGGGUGAAGAGGUGCAAGGAAGAUGUGAAUUCAGCUGGUCUGACACCAGAAUCCAAGUGCUAGACCAUGACAUUAUACACUCUCCUGGACUUCCUUGGCUAUUAUCCUGCUAACAAGACUCCUAGGCCCUCCCGUUGCCCAUAAAAGAAGAUCUGUCCUAAGAAGGACCACACAUUCCAUCAGUCUGUCCUAAGAAGGACCAACCACACAUUCCAGCAGUCUGUCCAGAUUCAGAGCCCCUUGGGCCUGGGAGACAAUGACAUGACUGCUACCAGCUGUCUCAGGCCAGCUACUUAAACUUCUCGGGCCUUGGGGUCUUCCACACAGGACCAACACCUUCUCAGGGCAUCCUUCAGAAGACCCAACCAGAAUGAUUCUGGCUCCACACAACUGGACUGAAAUUCUCCCACACCAUAUACUAGCUCUGUGACUCUGAGGUCAAAUGACAUUUUGAGCCUUCAUUCAAUUAAUGAUUGAACUUAAAAUCUCUAGUGAGCCCCACUUCAAAGUUUCCAUGAACUCAAAAU